GGAAAAAGUAGGGUGGUGAGAGAAGAAGUAAGUGGAAUUAAGGAAUGAAAUUGAAGGGAGAGAUUUUACAUUCCUAUCUUCUUCUUUGGAUCGGGUGACAAUGGAGAAGAGAAUGAGGAGAGAGGAGCUUUUUGAAAGGUGAAAUUACAAUUCUACCAACCAAGACUGAUUGGUGAUGCAACCAAGAAAUUAAUAAGCGAGUAGAGGAUAACUGUGAUUUUGCAUGAACUCAGCUGCCAAUGUUUAUAUUCUCCUCCUUUUCUUCCCGAUUUGGGGAGAUAUUAUUAAGUGGUAUCAGUGAGGGACCCAUAUUUUCCUUUUUCCCCACUUUCUCCUGGUUUCCCAAACAUGGGAAGUAGGAUUCUAUUUGCGGUUUUCACUCCCUCCUCCCAUUCCCAAAGUUAAUUGGUGAACUUUUGUGUGCUUUUUGCAGGAACAUAUUUUAAAUGCUUAUGUCAUAUCUGUAAAGAAUGCAACAUUGUCUUUUUUUUCCCCCAUAUUCUUUUUUAAUUAUAAUACUUGUCAUAUUUUUCUAUUAUGUGCAGGUUAAUAUUCUUAAAGUUCUUU
This 567-nucleotide unclassified non-coding RNA is filed under the name Hevea brasiliensis (rubber tree). Lineage: Eukaryota; Viridiplantae; Streptophyta; Magnoliopsida; Malpighiales; Euphorbiaceae. The record is from RNAcentral.